UGAGGUGUUCUCCAGCGGCAACGAGAGCAGACUGUAAAUCUGCCGCCUUUCGGCUUCGUGGGUUGUUCCCGUUGGUCACGCGCAAGCGGAGCGAGUCCCUCCACCUCAA
Molecule: transfer RNA, 109 nt
Filed under: Bacteroidales bacterium
Lineage: Bacteria; Pseudomonadati; Bacteroidota; Bacteroidia; Bacteroidales
Description: tRNA-Tyr
Source: RNAcentral